Molecule: long non-coding RNA, 264 nt
Filed under: Capsella rubella
Lineage: Eukaryota; Viridiplantae; Streptophyta; Magnoliopsida; Brassicales; Brassicaceae
Description: long non-coding RNA (CRUB_LNC004664)
Source: RNAcentral
AUAUCCCCAAAAUAAAGCAUAUAUAGUACUGAUAAGAUCAUGAGUUAUAUACAGUAUAUCCAUUUACAAGCUGAUCGCUACUGAAAUUUGCAUGGAGUUAAAAGACAAAAAAAAAAAAAAACGUAAAAAUAGAGAUAACAACACAGUAAUGGGUUCUUUUUUCCUUACAUUCGAAUAAUAUUAGAUUAUGAGCUCUUAAUCAAAUGUAUAUCUCAAACGAAUCAAAAUCAUACAUUUUUCUACGUGCGGAAAAAAAGAGCGGAU